UUUUUUGUACACACCUACAAUGUUAAUGCACCAAAUCCCAUAUGAAAUCUGAAUUUAAUCAUGCUUGGGAUAGAGUAGUACUAAUAUGGGUGAGCUCUCGAGAAUUUCUAUCAUUUUACAUGC
Picea glauca (white spruce) is the source of this 123-nucleotide non-coding RNA. Lineage: Eukaryota; Viridiplantae; Streptophyta; Pinopsida; Pinales; Pinaceae. The record is from Rfam.